GCGUGGACGCCAGUCUGCGUGGAGCCGACCUUGAAAUACCACCCUUUAAUGUUUGAUGUUCUAACGUGGAUCCGUAAUCCGGGUUGCGGACAGUGUCUGGUGGGUAGUUUGACUGGGGCGGUCUCCUCCUAAAGAGUAACGGAGGAGCACGAAGGUUGGCUAAUCCUGGUCGGACAUCAGGAGGUUAGUGCAAUGGCAUAAGCCAGCUUGACUGCGAGCGUGACGGCGCGAGCAGGUGCGAAAGCAGGUCAUAGUGAUCCGGUGGUUCUGAAUGGAAGGGCCAUCGCUCAACGGAUAAAAGGUACUCCGGGGAUAACAGGCUGAUACCGCCCAAGAGUUCAUAUCGACGGCGGUGUUUGGCACCUCGAUGUCGGCUCAUCACAUCCUGGGGCUGAAGUAGGUCCCAAGGGUAUGGCUGUUCGCCAUUUAAAGUGGUACGCGAGCUGGGUUUAGAACGUCGUGAGACAGUUCGGUCCCUAUCUGCCGUGGGCGCUGGAGAACUGAGGGGGGCUGCUCCUAGUACGAGAGGACCGGAGUGGACGCAUCACUGGUGUUCGGGUUGUCAUGCCAAUGGCACUGCCCGGUAGCUAAAUGCGGAAGAGAUAAGUGCUGAAAGCAUCUAAGCACGAAACUUGCCCCGAGAUGAGUUCUCCCUGAGACUUAGAGUCUCCUGAAGGAACGUUGAAGACGACGACGUUGAUAGGCCGGGUGUGUAAGCGCAGCGAUGCGUUGAGCUAACCGGUACUAAUGAACCGUGAGGCUUAACCUUACAACGCCGAAG
RNAcentral lists this ribosomal RNA (781 nucleotides) under Salmonella enterica subsp. enterica serovar Infantis. RNAcentral's name for it is "partial 23S ribosomal RNA". It matches the Rfam family "Bacterial large subunit ribosomal RNA", at positions 2162 to 2925 of the family's 2925-position model. The record is from RNAcentral. Lineage: Bacteria; Pseudomonadati; Pseudomonadota; Gammaproteobacteria; Enterobacterales; Enterobacteriaceae.